RNAcentral lists this ribosomal RNA (482 nucleotides) under Fusarium oxysporum f. sp. lycopersici. Its description in RNAcentral is "eukaryotic LSU rRNA". The stretch from base 131 to 284 matches the Rfam family "5.8S ribosomal RNA". Lineage: Eukaryota; Fungi; Ascomycota; Sordariomycetes; Hypocreales; Nectriaceae. The record is from RNAcentral.
AACCCCUGUGACAUACCUAUACGUUGCCUCGGCGGAUCAGCCCGCGCCCCGUAAAAAGGGACGGCCCGCCCGAGGACCCCUAAACUCUGUUUUUAGUGGAACUUCUGAGUAAAACAAACAAAUAAAUCAAAACUUUCAACAACGGAUCUCUUGGUUCUGGCAUCGAUGAAGAACGCAGCAAAAUGCGAUAAGUAAUGUGAAUUGCAGAAUUCAGUGAAUCAUCGAAUCUUUGAACGCACAUUGCGCCCGCCAGUAUUCUGGCGGGCAUGCCUGUUCGAGCGUCAUUUCAACCCUCAAGCUCAGCUUGGUGUUGGGACUCGCGGUAACCCGCGUUCCCCAAAUCGAUUGGCGGUCACGUCGAGCUUCCAUAGCGUAGUAAUCAUACACCUCGUUACUGGUAAUCGUCGCGGCCACGCCGUAAAACCCCAACUUCUGAAUGUUGACCUCGGAUCAGGUAGGAAUACCCGCUGAACUUAAGCAUA